RNAcentral lists this ribosomal RNA (890 nucleotides) under uncultured Candidatus Saccharibacteria bacterium. RNAcentral's name for it is "bacterial SSU rRNA". It matches the Rfam family "Bacterial small subunit ribosomal RNA", at positions 571 to 1482 of the family's 1533-position model. Lineage: Bacteria; Candidatus Saccharimonadota. The record is from RNAcentral.
GUAGGUGGCAGAGUAUGUCUGUAGUGAAAGCGUGUGGCUCAACCAUAUACACAUUACAGAAACUGCUCAGCUAGAGGGCGAGAGAGGUUACUAGAAUUCCUAGUGUAGGAGUGAAAUCCGUAGAUAUUAGGAGGAAUACCGAUGGCGUAGGCAGGUAACUGGCUCGUCCCUGACACUAAGGCACGAAAGCGUGGGGAGCAAACGGGAUUAGAUACCCCGGUAGUCCACGCUGUAAACGAUGGAUGCUAGCUGUAAGAGGUAUCGACCCCUCUUGUAGCGAAGCUAACGCGUUAAGCAUCCCGCCUGUGGAGUACGGUCGCAAGACUAAAACAUAAAGGAAUUGACGGGGACCCGCACAAGCGGUGGAGCGUGUUGUUUAAUUCGAUGGUAAACGAAGAACCUUACCCAGGUUUGACAUCCUUGGAAUUUUGCCGAAAGGCGAGAGUGCUUUAUUGAGCCAAGUGACAGGUGUUGCAUGGCCGUCGUCAGCUCGUGUCGUGAGAUGUUUGGUUAAGUCCAUCAACGAGCGCAACCCUUAUAGUCUGUUGUAUUUUUCAGGCUAGACUGCCCCGGUAACGGGGAGGAAGGAGGGGAUGAUGUCAGGUCAGUAUUACCCUUACAUCUGGGGCUACAAACACGCUACAAUGGCCGGUACAAAGGGCAGCCAAGUCGCGAGACGGAGCAAAUCCCAUCAAAGCCGGUCUCAGUUCGGAUAGCAGGCUGAAACUCGCCUGCAUGAAGUCGGAAUCGCUAGUAACGGUAGGUCAGCUAUACUACCGUGAAUACGUUCCCGGGUCUUGUACACACCGCCCGUCAAACAAUGGAAGUUGGGUGUGCCUUAAGACAAUAGCCGCAAGGAGUUGUCCAAGGUAAAACCGAUAACUGGUGUU